UCCUCAUCCUCAGCUGCUCUUACCGCGCCU
Molecule: small RNA, 30 nt
Filed under: Bombyx mori (domestic silkworm)
Lineage: Eukaryota; Metazoa; Arthropoda; Insecta; Lepidoptera; Bombycidae
Description: ovarian small RNA-27777
Source: RNAcentral